CGAAGAAAAAAUGCUGAUUUCCUUAUCUAACUGAAAUUCUUAUGGAAGCAAAUCUUGGAAAGUAUUUUAAAAUCCUAUGGCCAUCCCUAAGAAUUCACCAUGCAUUCCAAUACAUUCCUAAGGGUUUUGAGAGCAUAGGAGGCAAGAAAUGCGAAGAAUGACAUGAAGACGCGAAGAUUCCAUUCAUUGAUUGAUUGGGUGAUGUCAUUUCUUCAAUAUUUUUUUUCUUAUCUUAUUUCUACCAUGCUAGUCUAGAUUUUUUAUGGCCAAGAGAAUGAUGAGCCAUGUAGUAUGAGUUUUUAAUCUUGAGUUUUACAUAUUUGACAUUAAAGACACAUUUUUGAGUAUUGAAUAGUUUAUAUGAAUUUAUUUUCUUCAUUAUUAUUGUGCACGGUAAUUAUGUAAAUAUGAUGACUUAUUUUAUGCAUUCGAAAGAAGGAAAAUAAACUCGACAUGAUAUAAAUCGUCAUAGGGUCUGAUAGGGAAUAAAAUACACCACUAUGCUCUAUGUGAAUCUUUAAAUGUUCAUAAAAAUUCAUGCAUUCUUGUAUGUUCGCAUCCGUCAUAGAAAUAUGGUAGGAUUAUAUAUGAGAAUAAGUUUAACAUUAUUCGAGAAAGAUUGUUAAAUAUAAAAGAAACAUUGAUUUUUCAAUAUUCAACCGCGUUAUCAAAGUAUAAAACUAAGGUCAAAAAUGAUUAUUGCAUAGGGAUUCGCAAUCUUAGUACAUUUGCUAUUCAUUAGAACAUAUCAUAUUGCAUUUAGCGUAAUUCUGUAUUUAACUUAGUUAAUUCACUCAUAAUUACAUACGUAGUUUAUUUUAGUAUAAUUUCAUCACAAUAAACACAUUCUCAUCAUUCUUGUUUCGGAUAAGGUCAAUCCUUGUGGGACGAUCAUUGGACUCACAAUCCACUUUAUUACUUGUCAACGAAAAAAACACUUGCGGUGAUUUUACUUCAAAAUAUAUUUUUGUGAACACCCUUCUCACUAUGGUGUUAUUUUUACAUCCUCAGCAAAUGCUGGCAUCAUUGAUGAAUACAUUGAAAAGAGCAAGGCCAACAAGGUAGGUUUCAUUUUCUAUUGAUCACAAAAAAUUAAAAGUGAAAUUGCACUCUUUUUCAAUAGUAAAAUUUAGUCUUCAUCCUUUCUUUAUAUUUGCACGUGUAAUCCAUUACAUUGAAGUUGGUCAAGUACCUUUAACUUGGGUUGGAUUCUGUUAGUUGACUAGGAUUGAUGCUUAGAAAUUUAUGUUGAGACACGAGAGGUCACAAGACAAUUUAAUUUAAAUUUAUACUACUUUAGAUAUAAUAAAAUAUUGAGGUCCCUAACUUGCUCUUUUCUAAAAGUUAGAAACCAACCAAACACAUUUUCUAUAACCUAAUAUGCAAUUUUAAUAUUUCAAACUAAAUGAAAUCGAACUAUAUAAUACACCUUGGGCUGCUCAUCAAGGUGGACCGAACGUUAUUAAAAGAAAAAAAAUAGAAGUUAAAAUCUUAUUUUACUGUCACUAUAAUCGAAUUAUAUUAAACGAAGACAAACAUUUAUUAUUAUGCUUUUGCACUAGAUUUUGGCUUGGGGUAUAAAAAUUUUUAGUUUCUUAAAACUUUGUUAGUUGAAUAGGAAUUGAAUGACAAGAAGAGGCUGGCCACAAGUGGUGCAAACUUUGCCCGAGCUUUUACAGUUCAAUUUGGUACAUGCAAAUUCCCUGAAAACUUCACUGGCUGCCAAGCAGAAGUUUGCCUCACGUAGGAUAUCUAUAUUACUUCAAUUUUAUUGGAGCGCACGUAGAGGUGUCAAAAUGUGCUUCUCACUAUCUUAGCUCGUGAAAAGCAUUAACCGUAUCCUAAGCUUGCUACGAGUAGAUAUGUCAAAAUGUGUUGGGACGAGAGGUGUCAAAAUUUGCGGGGCUAUUUAGGCUCUCCUUCCUUUCUUAUUUGGAGGAUGAGAAAAUGUAUAUUUUAGAGUCAAAAUAUGUUGGAUUGUCUAGGCUUAGCUCAAGCAAUAUCCAAAGACUCUCAUGCCUUUCUUGAUUAGACCAAUCUUUUAUCCUAUAGAAUUAGCGAUGCCGACAAUAUGUAUACCCCUUAAUGUUAGCUUUGGAAUUUAUUGUAUUAAUAAUUUUCUUGCUCUAAUUUACUGCAGAAAGUACCAUUUAUUUUAGAUGACUUGGAGUUGGAGUGCAAAGGGAAGGACAAAUACAAGUGUGAAAUGGUGAAAUGUUGUAUUAUUGUUCACCUCAAAUAACUACAUUUUCUCAAAACUGAAACUUGAAUUCUCUUAAUUCUUCAUUUUUCAUUUUAGAAUAUGUAAUAUAUUUUCUCAUUAUAACAUGGA
RNAcentral lists this long non-coding RNA (2332 nucleotides) under Olea europaea subsp. europaea. The record is from RNAcentral. Lineage: Eukaryota; Viridiplantae; Streptophyta; Magnoliopsida; Lamiales; Oleaceae.